UCAGGACGAACGCUGGCGGCGUGCCUAAUACAUGCAAGUCGAGCGGAGAUAGUGGAGCUUGCUCCAUUAUCUUAGCGGCGGACGGGUGAGUAACACGUGGGCAACCUGCCCUGCAGAUCGGGAUAACUCCGGGAAACCGGUGCUAAUACCGAAUAGUUUGCGGCCUCUCAUGAGGCUGCACGGAAAGACGGUUUCGGCUGUCACUGCAGGAUGGGCCCGCGGCGCAUUAGCUAGUUGGUGAGGUAACGGCUCACCAAGGCCACGAUGCGUAGCCGACCUGAGAGGGUGAUCGGCCACACUGGGACUGAGACACGGCCCAGACUCCUACGGGAGGCAGCAGUAGGGAAUCUUCCGCAAUGGACGAAAGUCUGACGGAGCAACGCCGCGUGAGUGAAGAAGGUUUUCGGAUCGUAAAACUCUGUUGUGAGGGAAGAACAAGUACCAACUAACUACUGGUACCUUGACGGUACCUCACCAGAAAGCACGC
Molecule: ribosomal RNA, 487 nt
Filed under: Planococcus rifietoensis
Lineage: Bacteria; Bacillati; Bacillota; Bacilli; Caryophanales; Caryophanaceae
Description: bacterial SSU rRNA
Rfam family: Bacterial small subunit ribosomal RNA
Source: RNAcentral